Molecule: non-coding RNA, 1802 nt
Organism: Mauremys mutica (yellowpond turtle)
Lineage: Eukaryota; Metazoa; Chordata; Testudines; Geoemydidae
Source: the annotation of a RefSeq genome assembly
UUGAGGGGAACAAGCAGAGGUCUAAGCUCCCCACCCGCUCCGCUGCCCAGUCUCUGGUUCCCCAGGGGGGUCGGAAGCAGGAGGAACAAACGGACAAAGGAUUGUGAAUUACACAGUGACCAGGGCAGAGAUUUCCCGCUAUGGGAUCCCAAUGUGGGGUAAAUCCCUCAGCUCCCCAGCCCCUGCUGUCACCGACGCUCCUGCUGUCCCCCCCAGCCCAGCCACAGGUGUCUGAGAUCCAGGUGUUACCGCACUGGGAGCCCCGGGAUGAGGUGCCGUUUGCCGUCCAGCUCCAGAACUUUUACCCCAGGGGGAUUCACCGGAUCCAGUGGAGCUGGGAUGGGAAAAGCUGGGAAAAGUCUGAACCAACCGACUACAGCGAGAACCCGGAUCUCACGUUCAGUGCUACCAGCGUCUGGAGAAUCCCCAGCCGGGAACUGAACCGUCUGGGACUCAGAGUCCGAGUGUCCGUUCAGCAAAGUCCUCAAGAGCCCCCGAUCGAGAGAGAGAUCAGAGCCGAGGACACAGCCCCAGCCGUGUCAGAAAUCUCCAAACCCGAGUCAGUUACAGCGGGGAAGGAAAUCACCCUGAGCUGCCGCAUGACGGGACAUUUCCCCGGGGCGCUGAGUGUGGCCUGGCUCAGAACGCAGAGAUCAACCACAGGCUCUCAUUUUGAGGAAAAGAGCAAGGGAGACAUCCUGGUUCCUCUAGAAAACUCUGCCGAGUACAGAAUCGAGCCCGGAGCUCCCCACACACAGGACGGAAAAACCUUCCAGCAGGAGACGAGACUCAGCUUCACCCCCUCGGUGCAGAGAGACCAGGGGGCCAAGUUCAUCUGCCGGGUGGGACACGUCACCCUAGAGAUCCCCCUGGAGAGACGCACUGGGGAGCUGCACGUGGCAGAGCCACCACAAGCUCCAGUUCUUCGCGAGAUCUCCCGGCCGCAGGUCCUGGCCCCCGGGGAGCAGGUCACACUGAGCUGCCAAAUAUCCAGGUUCUACCCCAAGGAGCUGAGCGUGACCUGGUACCGACGGGGAAGGGGAGAGUCGGAGUUCAGGUGCUUAGACAAGCCGGACACCCACAUGAUUGACACCCCAGACCCCACAGCCGCGCCAGACAGGAAAUCCUACUUCGUGAUGUCCCAGCUCCGCCUCACCCCCAUGCUGCCCGAGGACGACGGGGCAGAGUACCGGUGUUCUGUGGAACAUGAAACCCUGCAGGAGCCUGAAGGAAAAUCCACUGGGCCGCUGGAGCUGCGAGGUGGCCCCCCUCUCGAUGGAGACACGUCCGUUUUUUGACUGUCCUGCACUCACCACGGCCGGUGCUGGGGAGACAGAGCCAGCUGCAAGCCACUCGGAGAGGAGAGAACAAACUGACCCCUUGUGAUGCUGUGUGAUCGACGUGUGACCGUGCACAGCACUGGUGUUGCCACAGUGCUACAACUGCAAGAGAACUUGUACCAAGCACGUCAUGUCCGGCGUCACUGGGAAAGUUAUGAAUUGCUAAGUGUGGAUAUCCUCCUUAUAUGUGUAGCCCCCCGCCCCCGUUCACCGGCCCAGAAUGAGGUGGUUCGAGAUCGGGGAAGCCUGUUUGUGACCCUUUACACAACGUUAGGGGACUGGGCCUGAGCCUCCUGUGUGUGCUCUGCGUUGUGUGUCAGUGUGUUCACCUCAGACCAGACCCACUCAGACAAACCACCAGGUACAGGCUUUAUUCUGUAAAGAACAUAGAACAGGCUCACAGUCCAGCAGCCUCCUCUGCCAGCCUGCUCCGUGCUCCCAGCCCAGUCAGUGCAGAGACCC